RNAcentral lists this long non-coding RNA (1127 nucleotides) under Marmota monax (woodchuck). Lineage: Eukaryota; Metazoa; Chordata; Mammalia; Rodentia; Sciuridae. The record is from RNAcentral.
GUAUGUUGCCCAGGCUGGUCUUUAAUUCCUGGGCUCAAGUGAUCCUCCUCACCCUCCCAAGUAGCUAGAAUUACUAUCUUGCCUGGCUAAAUAUACUGACUAUUUAUUGAGCAUCUAGUAUGUGAUAAGAACAUAAUUUUAGCCUUCAAGAGCUCACAGGUGGCCAGGGAAGGAGGCUUUGAGAGUGGAGUCACUGAAAAACAAUCUCAGCACCAUGUGUUGAGGAUAGGUCUGUGCAUCGAGACUUGAAGAAACAGAAUGGGCUGUUUAGGGAGCAUUUUCUAUGUACUAGGCUGAAUUUUUGUGCUAGAAAUACAGCAUUUAGUAAGAUGUAUACUUUUUCCUGCUCUGAUGGUGCUUUCCUGGAUAAGAGAAGCUGGGAGGUAAAAAGAAAGUUAGGUGAGCCUUGAAGGGCUACAUGAAGAGGGGACUUCUAGGGAAAUAUCCCAGGAAAGGGAAGGCAUGUGAACAAAGACACAGGAUGUGCCUGGAAAGUUCUUAGCUACUUACUAGGACAGCAGUGAGGCUAUGUAGUAAGAGGAGAAAGUGGAAACAUCAUUAUCUAACACCAGGUUGAAAAAAAGGGGCAAGUGCUCUACUACUGAGCUAUAUCCCCAGCCCAAUAAAUGGCAAUUUAAUAUGAAAGACAAAUGUUAGAAAUUCUCAAUAAUCUUAGAUAACUACUGUUUUUGUAGGUAUUGUUGUAGUAAAUUUUAAUGUUAUAAAUAUAUUGUGAAUAUUAUAGAUAUACUAUAUAAUAUAUAAACAUAUAUUAUGGUUUUAUUUUCUACUAGUAAAAUUGCUGAUGGUUCCAAAUGGUGUGCCACACAUAGUAAAUGCCAUGGCUUCCAGAUGCUUUGAUUCCCAUAUACAUUUUAAAAAAACAGUUGUUGAGAUACAAUUCACAUGUCAUGCAAUUCACCUAUUUAAAAUGCAGAGUUCAUUGGUUUUAGUAAAUGCAGAGUUUUGCAACUAUCACCAUGAUAAAUCAAAAAAUCUGAGAACCACUGACCAGGCAACGGGGGAAACCAUUGAAAGUUUAAUGCAAGGGCAUGACAUCUAGGUAAGGGUGGAAGAAAAAAAAAGAUUCCUCUUGCUGUCGUAAGGGAGAUUAGCUAAAAGCAGAG